Molecule: ribosomal RNA, 639 nt
Filed under: Vishniacozyma victoriae
Lineage: Eukaryota; Fungi; Basidiomycota; Tremellomycetes; Tremellales; Bulleribasidiaceae
Description: partial large subunit ribosomal RNA
Rfam family: Eukaryotic large subunit ribosomal RNA
Source: RNAcentral
GCAUAUCAAUAAGCGGAGGAAAAGAAACUAACUAGGAUUCCCUUAGUAACGGCGAGUGAACCGGGAUGAGCUCAAAUUUAAAAUCUGGCGUCUUUCAGGCGUCCGAGUUGUAAUCUAUAGAGGCGUUUUCCGCGCCGGACCGCGUCCAAGUCUCUUGGAAUAGAGUAUCAAAGAGGGUGACAAUCCCGUACUUGACGCGACAACCGGUGCUCUGUGAUACGUUCUCAAUGAGUCGAGUUGUUUGGGAAUGCAGCUCUAAAUGGGUGGUAAAUUCCAUCUAAGGCUAAAUAUUGGCGAGAGACCGAUAGCGAACAAGUACCGUGAGGGAAAGAUGAAAAGCACUUUGGAAAGAGAGUUAAACAGCACGUGAAAUUGUUAAAAGGGAAACGAUUGAAGUCAGUCGUGUGAAAGGUAUUCAGCCGUCUCUGGCGGUGUAUUUGCCUUUCACGGGUCAACAUCAGUUUGAUCCGGUAGAAAAAGGCAGGAGGAAGGUGGCACCCUCGGGUGUGUUAUAGCCUCUUGUCAUAUGUGCCGGACCAGACUGAGGAACGCAGCUUGCCGCAAGGCCGGGGUUCGCCCACGUACAAGCUUAGGAUGUUGACAUAAUGGCUUUAAACGACCCGUCUUGAACCCGGGACC